This 83-nucleotide small nucleolar RNA is filed under the name Phasianus colchicus (ring-necked pheasant). RNAcentral's name for it is "Small nucleolar RNA U2-19 (ENSPCLG00000001143.1)". It matches the Rfam family "Small nucleolar RNA U2-19". From Rfam's summary of the family: U2-19 is a member of the C/D class of snoRNA which contain the C (UGAUGA) and D (CUGA) box motifs. The record is from Rfam by way of RNAcentral. Lineage: Eukaryota; Metazoa; Chordata; Aves; Galliformes; Phasianidae.
GGUCUGUGAUGAGAAAUAGCCAAAUCUGAGCACCAGGAGAUAAAUAAUCUUCCAGGUGUUGUGAUUUGUAGGUAGUUCUGAGA